GGAGAAGAGAAGAAAGGAUCAGAUUUGACACAUCAAAAAAUUGACCAGGAGAGUGACACAGAAGGAAUGUAUGAGGACUCUGUGAGUGACCACAGUUAUGAUUCCAGUGCGGAAGAAAUGUUUUUGGAAGGAAAAGAUCCACUUUUAGACCAUGCCAGGGACUCGGAUGAACAAUGGGAACCCACAAUGUCAAGGUGUCCAUCCCCCACUAAUUCAGACGCUGAAGCUGGUUCAUCCAGCCGGACCCCUGCUGUCUCCUGCUCCACACCUUCCCCCGCCCGGCCAUCUA
Molecule: long non-coding RNA, 289 nt
Organism: Salvelinus namaycush (lake trout)
Lineage: Eukaryota; Metazoa; Chordata; Actinopteri; Salmoniformes; Salmonidae
Exons: 3
Source: RefSeq, a predicted model, not a curated record